RNAcentral lists this ribosomal RNA (440 nucleotides) under uncultured Paracoccaceae bacterium. Its description in RNAcentral is "bacterial SSU rRNA". It matches the Rfam family "Bacterial small subunit ribosomal RNA", at positions 338 to 795 of the family's 1533-position model. Lineage: Bacteria; Pseudomonadati; Pseudomonadota; Alphaproteobacteria; Rhodobacterales; Paracoccaceae. The record is from RNAcentral.
CCUACGGGAGGCAGCAGUGGGGAAUCUUGGACAAUGGGCGCAAGCCUGAUCCAGCCAUGCCGCGUGAGUGACGAAGGCCCUAGGGUCGUAAAGCUCUUUCAGCUGUGAAGAUAAUGACGGUAGCAGCAGAAGAAACCCCGGCUAACUCCGUGCCAGCAGCCGCGGUAAUACGGAGGGGGUUAGCGUUGUUCGGAAUUACUGGGCGUAAAGCGUACGUAGGCGGACUAUUAAGUUAGAGGUGAAAUCCCAGGGCUCAACCCUGGAACUGCCUUUAAUACUGGUAGUCUUGAGUUCGAGAGAGGUGAGUGGAAUUCCGAGUGUAGAGGUGAAAUUCGUAGAUAUUCGGAGGAACACCAGUGGCGAAGGCGGCUCACUGGCUCGAUACUGACGCUGAGGUACGAAAGUGUGGGGAGCAAACAGGAUUAGAUACCCUAGUAGUC